Molecule: ribosomal RNA, 446 nt
Filed under: uncultured bacterium
Lineage: Bacteria
Description: partial 16S ribosomal RNA
Rfam family: Bacterial small subunit ribosomal RNA
Source: RNAcentral
CCUACGGGAGGCAGCAGUAGGGAAUAUUCGGCAAUGGGGGGAACCCUGACCGAGCAACGCCGCGUGAAGGAAGAAGUUAUUCGGAAUGUAAAGCUCUUUUAACAGGGAAGAAAGAGAAAUUUGAUGGUCCCUGAUGAAUAAGCUCCGGCUAACUACGUGCCAGCAGCCGCGGUAAUACGCGGGGAGCGAGCGUUAUCCAGUAUUAUGGGGCGUAAAGGGUGCGUGGAGGGCAUAGUAAGUCUUUUGGAAAAAUGCUGGGCUCAACCCAGAAGGGCAAAAGAUACUGGAAAGCUAGAGUAUGACAGAGGCAAGUGGAAUUACAUGUGUAGCGGUGAAAUGCGUAGAUAUAUGGAAGAACACCAGUGGCGAAGGCGGCUUGCUGGGUCGAUACUGACAUUGAGGCACGAAAGCGUGGGGAGCAAACAGGAUUAGAUACCCUAGUAGUC